Molecule: ribosomal RNA, 253 nt
Filed under: uncultured bacterium
Lineage: Bacteria
Description: partial 16S ribosomal RNA
Rfam family: Bacterial small subunit ribosomal RNA
Source: RNAcentral
UACGUAGGUGGCAAGCGUUGUCCGGAUUUACUGGGCGUAAAGAGCGCGCAGGCGGUCGUGCAAGUCGCGUGGGAAAGCCCCCGGCUCAACUGGGGAGGGUCACGCGAUACUGCUCGACUCGAAGGCAGGAGAGGGAAGUGGAAUUCCCGGUGUAGUGGUGAAAUGCGUAGAUAUCGGGAGGAACACCAGUGGCGAAGGCGACUUCCUGGCCUGUUCUUGACGCUGAGGCGCGAAAGCUAGGGUAGCAAACGGG